UAAGGAAUAUUGGUCAAUGGACGCAAGUCUGAACCAGCCAUGCCGCGUGGAGGAUGAAGGGUCCUCUGGAUUGUAAAACUUCUUUUAUUUGGGACGAAAAAAGGCCUUUCUAGGUCGUCUGACGGUACCAGAUGAAUAAGCACCGGCUAACUCCGUGCCAGCAGCCGCGGUAAUACGGAGGGUGCAAGCGUUAUCCGGAUUUACUGGGUUUAAAGGGUGCGCAGGCGGAUAUGUAAGUCAGUGGUGAAAUCUUUAGGCUUAACCUGAAAAUUGCCGUUGAUACUAUAUAUCUUGAAUGCUGUGGAGGUAAGCGGAAUAUGUCAUGUAGCGGUGAAAUGCUUAGAUAUGACAUAGAACACCUAUUGCGAAGGCAGCUUACUACGCAGAUAUUGACGCUCAUGCACGAAAGCGUGGGGAUCAAACAGGAUUAGAUACCCUGGUAGUCCACGCCCUAAACGAUGAUUACUCGACAUACGCGAUACACUGUGUGUGUCUGAGCGAAAGCAUUAAGUAAUCCACCUGGGAAGUACGACCGCAAGGUUGAAA
This 546-nucleotide ribosomal RNA is filed under the name uncultured bacterium. RNAcentral describes it as "partial 16S ribosomal RNA". It matches the Rfam family "Bacterial small subunit ribosomal RNA", at positions 355 to 899 of the family's 1533-position model. The record is from RNAcentral.